Molecule: ribosomal RNA, 273 nt
Filed under: uncultured bacterium
Lineage: Bacteria
Description: partial 16S ribosomal RNA
Rfam family: Archaeal small subunit ribosomal RNA
Source: RNAcentral
AACCAGCACCUCAAGUGGUCAGGAGGAUUAUUGGGCCUAAAGCAUCCGUAGCCUGCUUUGUAAGUUUUCGGUUAAAUCCAUAUGCUCAACAUAUGGGCUGCCGGGAAUACUGCAUAGCUAGGGAGUGGGAGAGGUAGACGGUACUCCAUAGGAAGGGGUAAAAUCCUUUGAUCUAUGGAAGACCACCUGUGGCGAAGGCGGUCUACCAGAACACGUUCGACGGUGAGGGAUGAAAGCUGGGGGAGCAAACCGGAUUAGAAACCCGAGUAGUCC